RNAcentral lists this ribosomal RNA (489 nucleotides) under Megaphragma noyesi. RNAcentral describes it as "partial large subunit ribosomal RNA". It matches the Rfam family "Eukaryotic large subunit ribosomal RNA", at positions 504 to 831 of the family's 3401-position model. The record is from RNAcentral. Lineage: Eukaryota; Metazoa; Arthropoda; Insecta; Hymenoptera; Trichogrammatidae.
CGACUGCUCGGCGGUAUAAAUUGUUUGAAUGUUCAAUGGUAUCGAGCCGCAUUUUUUUAUGCGUUCUUUAUGACUCGUCGGCAGGUGAGCCUCGCCUCGGAUUUACGGACCUGGUGCCGUUGUCGAGCGAGUCGUUUGCCGUUUUGCCGACGAUGUUCUCGGACGGGCUCUAUAAAGGCGCGCGUUCGCGCGCGCCUUUUGUUACCAGUCAGCGACGCUACUGCUUUGGGUACUUUCAGGACCCGUCUUGAAACACGGACCAAGGAGUCUAACAUGUGCGCGAGUCAUUGGGACUUGUUUAUAAUAAGCCUAAAGGCGCAAUGAAAGUGAAGGUCCGCUCUGAUGCGCGACCGAGGGAGGAUGGCUUCGAGAUUUGGAAUGAUUUUUUUUGUUUCUUUUUUCGAGGCUCGCACUCCCGGGGCGUCUCGUGCUCAUUGCGAGCUGAGGCGCACCCAGAGCGUACACGUUGGGACCCGAAAGAUGGUGAAC